This 179-nucleotide ribosomal RNA is filed under the name uncultured bacterium. RNAcentral's name for it is "partial 16S ribosomal RNA". It matches the Rfam family "Bacterial small subunit ribosomal RNA", at positions 1322 to 1500 of the family's 1533-position model. The record is from RNAcentral.
GAAGCUGGAAUCGCUAGUAAUCGCGAAUCAGCAUGUCGCGGUGAAUACGUUCCCGGGUCUUGUACGCACCGCCCGUCACACCAUGGGAGUCGGAAAUGCCCGAAGUCUGUGACCUAACCGUAAGGAAGGAGCAGCCGAAGGCAGGUCGGAUGACUGGGGUGAAGUCGUAACAAGGUAAC